GGAGCGAUGGUGUAGUUGGUUAUCACGUCUGUCUAACACACAGACGGUCCUCAGUUCGCUCACUGCCUCGCCGCA
RNAcentral lists this transfer RNA (75 nucleotides) under Rhizoctonia solani AG-8 WAC10335. Its description in RNAcentral is "tRNA-Val (AAC) (tRNA-Val-AAC-3-1)". The record is from RNAcentral. Lineage: Eukaryota; Fungi; Basidiomycota; Agaricomycetes; Cantharellales; Ceratobasidiaceae.